UUCCUGGAGGGUGCUGGAAACAUGCAUGAUAUCAUCCUUGAAGGCUCCUUCAUGCUCCUGGUGAUACAGCAGAAUGAGCUCACAGCCAUCUCCUUUGAUCCAUAAAGGUACAGUUAUGAAAUAAUUCAUGGGUGCUUUUGCUUGCUACAUAAUUUGCCAUCAAAUAUAAUUCAUGUGGUUUAUUUUUGGAGGUACAGAAUUAGUAUGUGGCAUAGUUCUGUUUAGUCAAGCAUGUCAGUGGAAAGUAAGUUGUAGCAAACAGUCUAGAUUUUUGUUUGCAUAUUUUAUGUAAGCGAUCUUAUACCGUAGUAUUCUAAAUAUACUGUAGUAUGUAGCAUUGUAAAAUUAGGACUUAGAUGGUCUGCACUGCAGAUUCACACAUCAAGCAUCA
Molecule: long non-coding RNA, 391 nt
Filed under: Sorghum bicolor (sorghum)
Lineage: Eukaryota; Viridiplantae; Streptophyta; Magnoliopsida; Poales; Poaceae
Description: long non-coding RNA (SBIC_LNC002259)
Source: RNAcentral